This 305-nucleotide ribosomal RNA is filed under the name uncultured bacterium. RNAcentral's name for it is "partial 16S ribosomal RNA". It matches the Rfam family "Bacterial small subunit ribosomal RNA", at positions 508 to 807 of the family's 1533-position model. The record is from RNAcentral.
ACAGCAGCCGCCGCGGUAAUACGUAGGGUGCGAGCGUUGUCCGGAAUUACUGGGCGUAAAGAGCUCGUAGGCGGUUUGUCGCGUCGUCUGUGAAAUUCUGCAGCUUAACUGUAGGCGUGCAGGCGAUACGGGCAGACUUGAGUACUACAGGGGAGACUGGAAUUCCUGGUGUAGCGGUGAAAUGCGCAGAUAUCAGGAGGAACACCGGUGGCGAAGGCGGGUCUCUGGGUAGUAACUGACGCUGAGGAGCGAAAGCGUGGGUAGCGAACAGGAUUAGAUACCCGCGUAGUCCCUGUCUCUUAUAC